Python bivittatus (Burmese python) is the source of this 862-nucleotide long non-coding RNA. RefSeq lists it as uncharacterized. The record is from RefSeq and is a predicted model, not a curated record. NCBI's taxonomy places the organism in Eukaryota, Metazoa, Chordata, Lepidosauria, Squamata, Pythonidae.
AGCAUUUUUAAAUCAGCAGCAGCAGUGCUUAAGGCGGGUGGUUACUUGUAAAAUAUGUUUAUCUCAGAUCCAUGGCAACAGCAAUGCUUAUAUCAUUCCUAUGUGCUUAUUGAAAGUGGCUUUAUGUUUUCCCUGUGCCAGCAAGAAAGAGAGAAGUAGAGGAGAAGCAUAACCUUCCUUGAAGUGUCCCUGCUGAAUUGGCUUUUGCAGCCUAGAUGAACCAUCUGCCUCAUCCUGAUCAGCUGGAUCCAGAUCAGAAAAAAACAGCAAGCUUCCUGGGCUACUUAUGAUUCCUGAUUUCAGAAAGCCCAUGAGCGGAUUUCCCACAUCGCAAAAUACAGAAAGCCUGGAGGGAAGGAAUCUCGGAUUUCUGUAAUCCUAGAGAAAUUAUUCUACCAUAACAGAUCGAAAAUCCAUGGCCUUCUCAUAAGUAAGAUAGAAGAAUCUCACAUCCACUCAUAAGAAUUUCAAUGCAUGCUAUGUUCUAUUUUGAAAAGGAAAAAUCCAAAGGAAUUUGCUUUUUUUUCCCCUCCGACUGAAUGAAAAGGAAGAAGAAAAUUGAAGAAGAAAUUUUUCACGGAACAGUUCAUUAAGGACUAGCCAUUACUUCAUAUUUCACUUUACAGAGAGUUCUAAGAGUUUUUUCCUUCUACUACAUUUGGUGUGUGGUUAAUAUUUAACAAAAAAGUAGCAGAAAAAGGCAGACAUGAAGACGUGAAGUCACUGACUGGUGUUAGUUACGUCUUAACUCUUCUGUUUCGGGAUUUUUUUCUUCCCAAUUCCCUUCUUUCUUUUAAGAAAGCAUUCCAAAAAUCAUGCUUAUUAACUGUUCAAUGAUUGGCUACCAUUAUUAGGAUCUCUA